Molecule: ribosomal RNA, 253 nt
Filed under: uncultured bacterium
Lineage: Bacteria
Description: partial 16S ribosomal RNA
Rfam family: Bacterial small subunit ribosomal RNA
Source: RNAcentral
UACAGAGGGUGCAAACGUUGCUCGGAAUUAUUGGGCGUAAAGCGCGUGUAGGCGGCUCGAUAAGUCGAUUGUGAAAGCCCUUGGCUCAACCAAGGAAGUGCAGUCGAAACUGCCGAGCUCGAGUCCCGAAGAGGGUGGCGGAAUGCCCAGUGUAGAGGUGAAAUUCGUAGAUAUUGGGUAGAACACCAGUGGCGAAGGCGGCCACCUGGGAGGCGACUGACGCUGAGACGCGAAAGCGUGGGUAGCAAACAGG